GACGAACGCUGGCGGCGUGCUUAACACAUGCAAGUCGAACGGAAAGGCCCCUUUGGGGGUACUUGAGUGGCGAACGGGUGAGUAACACGUGAGUAACUUGCCCUUGACUUCGGGAUAACUUCAGGAAACUGGGGCUAAUACCGGCUAGGAAUCCUUGCCGCAUGGUGGGGGUUGGAAAGCUUUGGCGGGUGUGGAUGGACUCGCGGCCUAUCCGGUUGUUGGUGGGGGAGUGGGUUACCAAGGCUUUGACGGGUAGGCGGCCGGGGAGGGCGAACGGCCACAUUGGGACUGGGGAUAGGGCCAGACUCCUACGGGGGGGAGCAGGGGGGAAUAUUGGACAAAGGGCGGAAGCCUGAAGGAACAACGCCGGGGGGGGGAUGAAGGGCUUCGGGUUGUAAACCGCUUUCCGCAGGGGAGAAGCUGGUGGUGACGGUACCUGCAGAAGAAGCACCGGCUAACUACGUG
This 465-nucleotide ribosomal RNA is filed under the name uncultured bacterium. Its description in RNAcentral is "partial 16S ribosomal RNA". It matches the Rfam family "Bacterial small subunit ribosomal RNA", at positions 28 to 507 of the family's 1533-position model. The record is from RNAcentral.